RNAcentral lists this ribosomal RNA (467 nucleotides) under uncultured bacterium. Its description in RNAcentral is "partial 16S ribosomal RNA". It matches the Rfam family "Bacterial small subunit ribosomal RNA", at positions 28 to 507 of the family's 1533-position model. The record is from RNAcentral.
GAUGAACGCUGGCGGCGUGCUUAACACAUGCAAGUCGAACGGAAAGGCUCCUGCUUGCAGGGGUACUCGAGUGGCGAACGGGUGAGUAACACGUGGGUGAUCUGCCCUGCACUUCGGGAUAAGCCUGGGAAACUGGGUCUAAUACCGGAUAGGACCACAUUUUGGAUGGUGUGGUGGAAAGUUUUUCGGUGUGGGAUGAGCUCGCGGCCUAUCAGCUUGUUGGUGGGGUAAUGGCCUACCAAGGCGUCGACGGGUAGCCGGCCUGAGAGGGUGUACGGCCACAUUGGGACUGAGAUACGGCCCAGACUCCUACGGGAGGCAGCAGUGGGGAAUAUUGCACAAUGGGCGCAAGCCUGAUGCAGCGACGCCGCGUGGGGGAUGACGGCCUUCGGGUUGUAAACUCCUUUCGCUAGGGACGAAGCGUUUUUGUGACGGUACCAGGAGAAGAAGCACCGGCUAACUACGUG